UACGUAGGUGGCAAGCGUUAUCCGGAUUUAUUGGGUCUAAAACAUUCGUAGCCGGCUUUGUAAGUCUUGUGUUAAAUUAUAAGGCUUAACCUUGUAUCUGCACAAGAUACUGCAAGGCUAGGGAAUGGAAGACGUAAGAAGUACGAUUGGGGUAGCGGUAAAAUGUUUUAAUCCUAAUCGGACUAACAAUGGCGAAGGCAUCUUACGAGGACAUAUCCGACGGUGAGGAAUGAAAGCUAGGGGCGCAAAACGG
This 253-nucleotide ribosomal RNA is filed under the name uncultured archaeon. RNAcentral's name for it is "partial 16S ribosomal RNA". It matches the Rfam family "Bacterial small subunit ribosomal RNA", at positions 524 to 776 of the family's 1533-position model. The record is from RNAcentral.